RNAcentral lists this ribosomal RNA (468 nucleotides) under uncultured bacterium. RNAcentral describes it as "partial 16S ribosomal RNA". It matches the Rfam family "Bacterial small subunit ribosomal RNA", at positions 28 to 507 of the family's 1533-position model. The record is from RNAcentral.
GACGAACGCUGGCGGCGUGCUUAACACAUGCAAGUCGAACGGAAAGGCCCUGCUUUUGUGGGGUGCUCGAGUGGCGAACGGGUGAGUAACACGUGAGUAACCUGCCCUUGACUUUGGGAUAACUUCAGGAAACUGGGGCUAAUACCGGAUAGGAGCUCCUGCUGCAUGGUGGGGGUUGGAAAGUUUCGGCGGUUGGGGAUGGACUCGCGGCUUAUCAGCUUGUUGGUGGGGUAGUGGCUUACCAAGGCUUUGACGGGUAGCCGGCCUGAGAGGGUGACCGGCCACAUUGGGACUGAGAUACGGCCCAGCCUCCUACGGGAGGCAGCAGUGGGGAAUAUUGCACAAUGGGCGGAAGCCUGAUGCCGCAACGCCGCGUGCGGGAUGACGGCCUUCGGGUUGUAAACCGCUUUCGCCUGUGACGAAGCGUGAGUGACGGUAAUGGGUAAAGAAGCACCGGCUAACUACGUG